AGCCAUUAGAAAAACAAGUACUAAAGGUAACACCUGCCCAGUGAGUAAUACUUAAACGGCCGCGACUAAACGUGCGAAGGUAGCGCAAUCACUUGUUCCAUAAAUCGGGACCCGUAUGAACGGUCACAUGAAAGAGAAACUGUCUCUUGAAGAAAGCCAGUGAAACUGAUCUGCCUGUACAAAAGCAGGCAUUCUAAAGCCAGACAAAAAGACCCUGUGAAACUUAAAACCAAGCAUUAAACUAAUAAUGCCCAAUUUUUAGUUGGGGCAACUUAAGAAACACAAAACAUCUUUAAACCCCUUAGACCAACAAGACUAAGCAACCAAAAACAAGACCCGGUAUGACCGAUUAACGAAACAAGCUACUCCAGGGAUAACAGCGCCAAAUUCUUUAAGAGUCCAUAUCAACAAGAAUUCUUACGACCUCGAUGUUGGAUCAGGGCACCCAAACAGUGCAGAAGCUGUUAAUGGUUCGUUUGUUCAACGAUUAAAGCCCU
RNAcentral lists this ribosomal RNA (497 nucleotides) under Acanthocercus yemensis. RNAcentral's name for it is "partial 16S ribosomal RNA". It matches the Rfam family "Bacterial large subunit ribosomal RNA", at positions 1824 to 2597 of the family's 2925-position model. The record is from RNAcentral. Lineage: Eukaryota; Metazoa; Chordata; Lepidosauria; Squamata; Agamidae.